UUGUGGCAGAAUUUUAUUUUUCUGGGGGAGGUACUUCUAAAUGGCUCCGACACAAGUGCCUGAAAUGCCAUGAAAUCACGUUUUCGGCCUCCAAUUAAAAUUUCUUAGCGGGAGAACCCCCUGACCCGACCCCCUUGCGGGGCUUCACGGUCGGUAUCAGCCCCCCUCCCCACCACCAUGGUUAAUCCGGCGUUGAUGUUCCCUCUUGUGCAGCUGCAAAAGAAUGUACAAGUUCAUUGCCUCAUUGUCAAAGAUCCCACUUUUCUACCCCAGUUCGGGUAAUGAGGUCGAGCGUAUAUUGUAUAGGGGAUAUUAAACAAGCAAACAGUAUGGCUGAUGUCUCCCGCCAAAACCCCAAAGUAAAAGAUGACACAUUAAUUAAUCGCACUUUCAUAUUUUUUUCAAAAGUAUCGAGCAAUCAAUAUUUUAAGGCAUAUCAGAGGGCAAGAUUGUGUGGCCAUUGAGGUCAGAUAUCACCAAAAAUGUUAUAGGCAAUAUACAUGUACUGAAUUUCUUAGACAGUUAUCAGAAAGCAAAGAUGACUAGCCCUCCGUCGAAUAUUAAACCACAUACAAUAUAUUCUGUGAAGAUGUCAUAAGAGAAAGAAUCAUAAAUGGCCAGCAAAGUUGUCUUGUACAGAGAGAGAGAGAGAGAAAUGGGGUUUAACGUCCACUCAACACAAACUAGGUCAUUUUGGGACUAACAUACGGUUUCAAUUUUAUUUCAAUAAUUCGCCUCUAUCUCCAUGCCACAUACGCUCACACCUGGGAUCAAAGCCACAGCCACAAGCCAGAGGUGACCGACCAGCUAGAGGUCGAAGCGCGGCACUCUAGGCCAUCACAACCCCCCUUUCUUGUACAGACCUGUGCAUGUGUAGUCAAUGUGAAAAUGAAAAAAAAACUGUUAAAGAGACCGAAUUUGAUGUUAAUACAUUUAGUGACAGUGAUGAUGAUAAUGAAGAUUAACUUUGAUGACAUUUGAUGUGCAGAGUAACUGUUUAAUUUUGAUUUUCAAUGAUUGUUUCACUUUAAUAAAUAAUUUCACAACUGUU
This is a long non-coding RNA of Patella vulgata (common limpet), 1051 nucleotides long. RefSeq lists it as uncharacterized. NCBI's taxonomy places the organism in Eukaryota, Metazoa, Mollusca, Gastropoda, Patellidae. The transcript is spliced from 2 exons. The record is from RefSeq and is a predicted model, not a curated record.